Non-coding RNA from Danio rerio (zebrafish), 360 nucleotides. The record is from RefSeq and is a predicted model, not a curated record. Lineage: Eukaryota; Metazoa; Chordata; Actinopteri; Cypriniformes; Danionidae.
CAAUUGGUACGGUCCAAAGCCCUCUAACCCUUCUGCUAAUGGUGCUGUGCUAACACACUCAAGGCAUCAUGGUGAAGUUUGCAGCGUUUGUUCGAGAGCACUGGGUCAAUAUUCUGGUGCCCAUGGGUUUCCUCAUGGGUAUUUAUCUGGACCGGUGGAAUGACCAGAGACUCACAGCGUUCAGGAACAAGAGCGCUUUAUACAGCAGGGAACUGAAGCCCGGUGAGGAGUACACCUGGAAGUGAGGCGCCGCCACUGAUAUUUAUUGGAUCCGAUUCCCACCAUGUGUAUAUUGUCUGUGCAGCGACUGUGUCUCUGAUUGCAAACAGGCUGCAAUAAAUUGUCAGUUUAGUUCUGUAA